RNAcentral lists this ribosomal RNA (465 nucleotides) under uncultured bacterium. Its description in RNAcentral is "partial 16S ribosomal RNA". It matches the Rfam family "Bacterial small subunit ribosomal RNA", at positions 28 to 507 of the family's 1533-position model. The record is from RNAcentral.
GAUGAACGCUGGCGGCGUGCUUAACACAUGCAAGUCGAACGAUGAAGCCCAGCUUGCUGGGUGGAUUAGUGGCGAACGGGUGAGUAACACGUGAGUAACCUGCCCUUAACUCUGGGAUAAGCCUGGGAAACUGGGUCUAAUACCGGAUAGGAGCGUCCACCGCAUGGUGGGUGUUGGAAAGAUUUAUCGGUUUUGGAUGGACUCGCGGCCUAUCAGCUUGUUGGUGAGGUAAUGGCUCACCAAGGCGACGACGGGUAGCCGGCCUGAGAGGGUGACCGGCCAACCGGGAACUGGGACACGGCCAGACUCCUACGGGAGGCAGCAGUGGGGAAUAUUGCACAAUGGGCGCAAGCCUGAUGCAGCGACGCCGCGUGAGGGAUGACGGCCUUCGGGUUGUAAACCUCUUUCAGUAGGGAAGAAGCGAAAGUGACGGUACCUGCAGAAGAAGCACCGGCUAACUACGUG